GAAAUGCGAUAAGUAAUGUGAAUUGCAGAAUUCAGUGAAUCAUCGAAUCUUUGAACGCACCUUGCGCUCCUUGGUAUUCCUUGGAGCAUGCCUGUUUGAGUAUCAUGAAAUCUUCAAAGUAAAUCUUUUGUUAACUCAAUUGGUUUCUACUUUGGUAUUGGAGGUCUUUGCAGCUUCACACCUGCUCCUCUUUGUUCAUUAGCUGGAUCUCAGUGUUAUGCUUGGUUCCACUCGGCGUGAUAAGUUAUCUAUCGCUGAGGACACUGUAAAAGGUGGCCAAGGUAAAUGCAGAUGAACCGCUUCUAAUAGUCCAUUGACUUGGACAAUACUUUUAUGAUCUGAUCUCGGAUCAGGUAGGACUACCCGCUGAACUUAAGC
RNAcentral lists this unclassified non-coding RNA (378 nucleotides) under plant metagenome. RNAcentral's name for it is "partial contains 5.8S ribosomal RNA, internal transcribed spacer 2, and large subunit ribosomal RNA". The stretch from base 1 to 105 matches the Rfam family "5.8S ribosomal RNA", at positions 50 to 154 of the family's 154-position model. The record is from RNAcentral.